UCCCCUUGUCAGAGCUUCAUAGUGUCUGUUUAAUGUGGUAUAUUAACAGCCCUAUCAUGAGUGGAAAUAUUACACCCCAAAUCCUCAUGAGGAGCUCUAGUGAGCCAAGAUUUGAUUUCUGUGGAUGUGGUUUUCCAGCGGAGCUGCCUCAGAACCACAGAAAAUGUUCUGUCAGAAAUUCAGGGGGACAUGCUAUCCUGCACAGUAAGAAACAGGGCCAGGCUUUGCAGGAUAAUCUUCUGGAAGAUGAAAGAAAUGGAAAUGCCCUGUUUCUUUUACUUGCAUUGCAUUUGGGGAUUAAUUUCCCAAUAAAAUGCCACCAUCUUCUUAGAUGUGCAGGAUCUAGGCACUCGAUUUCCACUGGCUUUCCUGAGUUUUAUGACUUCUUCAAGAAAAUUGUCACUAUACUCAUCACCCCUGCAGGCCUCCAAGGCCUCGGGUCCUCUGGGAGGAAUGUGACCCAAGAAGGCCCAAGCUGUCGGUGGUGGUGUGAGAAGUGAGCAACCAGGUGCAGAGCAGUUAAACAUCCCUUAUGGCAUCACAGGAGCAGGAAUGUGGCCUUGUUUCAGGAUUGGCUCUGCAAUGUAACGGGAUGGAGAACCAAAGACCAGAAAGAGCUGCAGCAUGGAGGAUUAGGAUGCUCCCCAAGGCUUCCACGCAGAAGAGAGCCAAGAGCCUUCUGUACUUAACAGUAAUAACUUACUUAUACUUACAUCCCCAGAGUGUUGUGAGGCUUAAUUAGGUAAUGUUUGCAAAGUGCUAUGCAGAUGCAAAGAGCAAUAUAAGCACUAAGUAUUAUUAACUGGUAGAAGAUUUCCAUGCAAGAGGUCUCUACAGUCUGUUGGAGCUAAAUGAUUCAGCAGGUUCCCCAAAAUUACGGGGCAGAGCAGAGAACUCUCCCUCAGAAACACGAGUCCACUUUCACAGCCUGCCUUUCGCACCCCAGGGCCCGGGAUCCCAAAUUGCCUCUGUUACCCUGGCCUUCUCAGCACCACAUCCUGAGGGAAGGCAGGAGGAGGAGUUCACUGAGACCCUCAGCAAGACAAGGACAAGGCCAAAGCGGCCUGAACUGAGCAUUGUUGGCUCUCUGCCAGGAUAAGGACAGGUUUCUGUUCUGUGACAUGGUCGCAGAUUGAAUUAUACCCCAGUACCUCUCCCAGGUUUCUUUUUCCCAGUCAGAUAAAUGGGAGACCUGCCUCCAAGCGGGCAUGUAGCCCAGUUUCCCUGGGCCCCCAGUGCUGUCCUCCCGGGUACUGUGCAGGUGAAUGUUUGUGCUAUUGCAAAAAACAGAGGCUAUGUGAAGGGAGGGAUCCUGCACAGCUGUGUGACUGUAGCACGAUCACAGCCCCCAGAGGGGGUGUCCAAGGGAAAGCUUUAAGAAAGGAUAAUUUUUUUAAAUUCUGGUAGUUGAAGUGAAGGUUGAAUGAGAGUCAAAAAUAAAUAUCAGACUCUUCUGAAAUUCACCCAUGCCUAAAUGACAGCUUAACUGUCAGCCUGCCUUCCCUCUCUGUGAAUGUAAGUGCCUGAAGUAUGGAGAAAAGGAGCCUACUUGCCCCACUGAGUCCCAGCGGGUCUCCUGGCUGCUGUAGCACCCAGCUGAGCUAUCUCAGUGGAGAGCUGGCAGGGGACAGAGCCUGGGAAGCUCCACAGGGGACAGAGGUGGUGGGGAAAUGCUGAUUUUUUUCCAAGCUUGGCUGCUUGGCGUAUAUCUUGCCAAGUGGAAAAGCUGCUAUGAUUUUCUAUCCCACAUUUUCUGGACAACUGUAAUUGGCAAAACUGAGCAAUAAAUUCUUGCGUGACUUACGGCAUGAUUGCUAUACUUUUAUACUUGUACAUAAGCUGGACGCUAUGCACACAAUUGACAAGCUGGAAAUCUUCAGUUGACACACAAAAAACAAACAAAACAACAAAAAUAUCUCAUAUAUGGUUCUCCAGACAUGAUAGGGACUAGAAGUCAUGUGAUGUAUUGAUGUUUAGUUCUAUUGAUGUUUAAUUUUCCAUUCAAUUUCCAGCAUGAGAAUUGCUUGAACAGUAGCUGGUUACAAAUGUGUUUUUUACAAUUUUUAUUAUUCCUGCCUUUUUGUUCUUUUUCUUUUAUACUACCUUUCCAGAUGGAUUAUCCAGUUGGCCAU
Molecule: long non-coding RNA, 2132 nt
Organism: Anas platyrhynchos (mallard)
Lineage: Eukaryota; Metazoa; Chordata; Aves; Anseriformes; Anatidae
Source: RefSeq, a predicted model, not a curated record